GUGAUGAGUCUGACAGUCAUGGAGAGGGGUGUCCUAAGUGGCCAGGUCUGA
Molecule: small nucleolar RNA, 51 nt
Filed under: Pyrobaculum neutrophilum V24Sta
Lineage: Archaea; Thermoproteati; Thermoproteota; Thermoprotei; Thermoproteales; Thermoproteaceae
Description: PNEsR13
Source: RNAcentral